Molecule: unclassified non-coding RNA, 199 nt
Filed under: uncultured fungus
Lineage: Eukaryota; Fungi
Description: sequence contains ITS1
Source: RNAcentral
UUGACUUAUUGUAUAAGUUACUCAGAGAGGCCAAUGAUGCAAGAGUUUCAGGCUUCUGACGGGUUACCGGGUCCCCGAGGGGAGCUGGCGCGGCCUGGGUUUCCCCGGGCCACCCGCCGAAGCAACGGUGAGGUAGAUUCACAAUGGUUGGGAGUUUUGCAACUCUGUAAUGAUCCCUCCGCUGGUUCACCAACGGAGA